CCUAUACAUGCAGUCGAGCGACAGAUAAGGAGCUUGCUCCUUUGACGUUAGCGGCGGACGGGUGAGUAACACGUGGAUAACCUACCUAUAAGACUGGGAUAACUUCGGGAAACCGGAGCUAAUACCGGAUAACAUAUUGAACCGCAUGGUUCAAUAGUGAAAGGCGGCUUUGCUGUCACUUAUAGAUGGAUCCGCGCCGUAUUAGCUAGUUGGUAAGGUAACGGCUUACCAAGGCAACGAUACGUAGCCGACCUGAGAGGGUGAUCGGCCACACUGGAACUGAGACACGGUCCAGACUCCUACGGGAGGCAGCAGUAGGGAAUCUUCCGCAAUGGGCGAAAGCCUGACGGAGCAACGCCGCGUGAGUGAUGAAGGUCUUCGGAUCGUAAAACUCUGUUAUCAGGGAAGAACAAAUGUGUAAGUAACUGUGCACAUCUUGACGGUACCUGAUCAGAAAGCCACGGCUAACUACGUGCCAGCAGCCGCGGUAAUACGUAGGUGGCAAGCGUUAUCCGGAAUUAUUGGGCGUAAAGCGCGCGUAGGCGGUUUUUUAAGUCUGAUGUGAAAGCCCACGGCUCAACCGUGGAGGGUCAUUGGAAACUGGAAAACUUGAGUGCAGAAGAGGAAAGUGGAAUUCCAUGUGUAGCGGUGAAAUGCGCAGAGAUAUGGAGGAACACCAGUGGCGAAGGCGACUUUCUGGUCUGUAACUGACGCUGAUGUGCGAAAGCGUGGGGAUCAAACAGGAUUAGAUACCCUGGUAGUCCACGCCGUAAACGAUGAGUGCUAAGUGUUAGGGGGUUUCCGCCCCUUAGUGCUGCAGCUAACGCAUUAAGCACUCCGCCUGGGGAGUACGACCGCAAGGUUGAAACUCAAAGGAAUUGACGGGGACCCGCACAAGCGGUGGAGCAUGUGGUUUAAUUCGAAGCAACGCGAAGAACCUUACCAAAUCUUGACAUCCUUUGACCGCUCUAGAGAUAGAGUCUUCCCCUUCGGGGGACAAAAUGACAAGUGGGUGCAUGGGUUGU
This 1025-nucleotide ribosomal RNA is filed under the name bacterium. Its description in RNAcentral is "bacterial SSU rRNA". It matches the Rfam family "Bacterial small subunit ribosomal RNA", at positions 48 to 1053 of the family's 1533-position model. The record is from RNAcentral.